Molecule: ribosomal RNA, 492 nt
Filed under: uncultured bacterium
Lineage: Bacteria
Description: partial 16S ribosomal RNA
Rfam family: Bacterial small subunit ribosomal RNA
Source: RNAcentral
AGUGAACGCUGGCGGUAGGCCUAACACAUGCAAGUCGAACGGCAGCACAGUAAGAGCUUGCUCUUACGGGUGGCGAGUGGCGGACGGGCGAGGAAUACAUCGGCAUCUACUUUUUCGUGGGGGAUAACGUAGGGAAACUUACGCUAAUACCGCAUACGACCUACGGGUGAAAGCAGAGGAUCUUCGGACCUUGCGCGAUUGAAUGAGCCGAUGUCGGAUUAGCUAGUUGGCGGGGUAACGGCACACCAAGGCGACGAUCCGUAGCUGAUCUGAGAGGAUGAUCGGCCACACUGGAACUGAGACACGGUCCAGACUCCUACGGGAGGCAGCAGUGGGGAAUAUUCCACAAUGGGCGCAAGCCUGAUGCAGCAAUGCCGCGUGAGUGAAGAAGGUCUUCGGGUCGUAAAGCUCUGUUAUUAGGAAAGAAAAGAUGUAUAUGAAAACGUCGACGUCUUGACGGUACCUAAUGAAUAAGCACCGGCUAACUUCGUG